Molecule: ribosomal RNA, 403 nt
Filed under: Verrucomicrobiota bacterium
Lineage: Bacteria; Pseudomonadati; Verrucomicrobiota
Description: Verrucomicrobia bacterium partial 16S ribosomal RNA
Rfam family: Bacterial small subunit ribosomal RNA
Source: RNAcentral
UGGGGAAUAUUGCACAAUGGGCGCAAGCCUGAUGCAGCAACGCCGCGUGAACGAUGAAGGUCUUCGGAUCGUAAAGUUCUGUUGCAGGGGAAGAUAAUGACGGUACCCUGUGAGGAAGCCCCGGCUAACUACGUGCCAGCAGCCGCGGUAAUACGUAGGGGGCUAGCGUUAUCCGGAUUUACUGGGCGUAAAGGGUGCGUAGGUGGUCUUUUAAGUCGGUGGUUAAAGGCUACGGCUCAACCGUAGUUAGCCUCCGAAACUGGAAGACUUGAGUGCAGGAGAGGAAAGUGGAAUUCCCAGUGUAGCGGUGAAAUGCGUAGAUAUUGGGAGGAACACCAGUAGCGAAGGCGGCUUUCUGGACUGCAACUGACACUGAGGCACGAAAGCGUGGGUAGCAAACAGG